UGGGGAAUUUUGGACAAUGGGCGAAAGCCUGAUCCAGCAAUGCCGCGUGUGUGAAGAAGGCCUUCGGGUUGUAAAGCACUUUUGUCCGGAAAGAAAUCCUUGGCUCUAAUACAGUCGGGGGAUGACGGUACCGGAAGAAUAAGCACCGGCUAACUACGUGCCAGCAGCCGCGGUAAUACGUAGGGUGCAAGCGUUAAUCGGAAUUACUGGGCGUAAAGCGUGCGCAGGCGGUUUGCUAAGACCGAUGUGAAAUCCCCGGGCUCAACCUGGGAACUGCAUUGGUGACUGGCAGGCUAGAGUAUGGCAGAGGGGGGUAGAAUUCCACGUGUAGCAGUGAAAUGCGUAGAGAUGUGGAGGAAUACCGAUGGCGAAGGCAGCCCCCUGGGCCAAUACUGACGCUCAUGCACGAAAGCGUGGGGAGCAAAACAGGAUUAGAUACCCUGGUAGUCCACGCCCUAAAACGAUGUCAACUAGUUGUUGGGGAUUCAUUUCCUUAGUAACGUAGCUAACGCGUGAAGUUGACCGCCUGGGGAGUACGGUCGCAAGAUUAAAACUCAAAGGAAUUGACGGGGUCAUAGCUGUUUCCU
Molecule: ribosomal RNA, 587 nt
Filed under: uncultured bacterium
Lineage: Bacteria
Description: partial 16S ribosomal RNA
Rfam family: Bacterial small subunit ribosomal RNA
Source: RNAcentral